ACACUGAAGGUGUGUGUCUUCCUUCAACCAAUCAGGUCCUUCAGAACUGUAGAUGCCACACUGCCUGCCCAGGGGCCAUGGCUGGUGCACGUCCUCCUGACCAGUGGAUCCCAAGCACCCCUGAGGGCGGCCUCCGUCCCCUCCCUGGCUGUAGGCAGAGGAUGGAGGCAGCGGGCCUCCCUGUCCAGCCACACACCUGGGCUGCUUUUCCAGGCAGCCAGGCAGGAGUGCCCCACUCCACAUGCCCUGGGCAGUUACUGGGCAGCAGGCAGCUAGAGGACAGGACAUCUGGACAAGGUCUCCCAGCUCUGGAAGGCUCUCUCCCUGCAGCAACAGGGUCCUGCUCCACCCAGCAGACCCUGGGGGCUGCCUCUGAUGGUCACUGGCUGGGCAGCACCACAGACACAGCCCAAGUGGCACAACAGCCCCAAGCGGUCACCCUCAGGCUGGCACCUCACACGACAUCUGAGCACCUGAGAGCACGGACCUCGCUCUGCAGGGGAACGGAGGGUGUGACCCUCAGGCCCUUGUCCCCACUCAGGGAGCCCUCCCUGCCCCCCUGGGUCAGCGCCUCCCCAUCCCAGAGCCCACAGCUCUCUCCACUUCCCACUGACCAGGUCUUCCUCCCACCACGGGCUCUCCGAGGGCACAGGGACAGAGCAGAACACAGCAGUCCUCGGUAAACUCGAGAGACCAGGGAUCAGGAUCGGGCAGCUGGAGAGCUGGGGGGUGGACAGAUGGAGCAAGGGUCCUCAGCCAAAGGAGCCUCCCCUCCACAGCAGAGGUUCACCGACAGCGGGUGGACAUGGGCUCCUCUCAGAUCCCAAGACAGCACCACCAACACGCCCUCAGCAGGCGCAGGCCUCCCCCCGCGGGAGGUCAAAGUGCACGCCCCCUGCACCCCCCACCUCGCUCCAGCCCAUUAAAGGUUGGUGCCUCCCAAGGCGCUCAGAGAUCUGCCCAUGUCAAUGGCCAACAGGUGCCCAGGUGCUGGACCGGCCUGCUGAGCCCUGCUGGCAUCCCCCACGGUGCUGCCUCACCUUCUCUGAACAGGGCUGCAGCACAGAGAAGCCGCGCCAUCAGCUGCUCUUCCAGCUGCUCAGGUGGCCACUCACGGAGCACCCUCACACCAGCCAGCCUGCCACCCACUGGGCCACAGGGUCUCCCUGUGCCCAGCUCCACCACUCUGCCUGGUUCUGCUCCCACCUGCUGGACCAGCUCUGCUCCAAAACCCCCACACCCUCCCCAGGGCUCCAGCUGCUGGGGACCUCAGCCUGGCCAGGGCGCAUGCCACUGAGCCCCCGUACAGGAACAGACACGAGUCGCGGAGGGCAGCAGAGAAGGUGCUGGCCCAGUCCUCUUUCCCCACACAGCCUCCAAAUCAUCCCGGGCACAAAUGGCAUUCCUUGGAAAAGCGGGCAGGUAGAGUCACAUAAGGAAGUGGCCAUGGACACCAGCAGGCCUGUGGUGCCAGUGUCCCCCGUGUUCCUUGCUCUGCCAGCUGGAGGUCCAGAACCACCAAACCCACACCCAGGUCUGGGUGUCUGAUACUGUUCUCCACCAAAAGGAAACAGGGCCCCCUGGAGAAGUGGCUGGUUCCUGGGCAGCUCCUGUAGGGCCAGGGAGCACCCACAGUGAUGGGGUUUCCAAGGGACCCAGCGGCCAGAACAGAAGAAUCAGCAACAAAAUAAAUAAAGCGCAAUUAUACUGUAA
Ictidomys tridecemlineatus (thirteen-lined ground squirrel) is the source of this 1713-nucleotide non-coding RNA. NCBI's taxonomy places the organism in Eukaryota, Metazoa, Chordata, Mammalia, Rodentia, Sciuridae. The record is from RefSeq and is a predicted model, not a curated record.